Molecule: non-coding RNA, 46 nt
Organism: Trichobilharzia regenti
Lineage: Eukaryota; Metazoa; Platyhelminthes; Trematoda; Strigeidida; Schistosomatidae
Source: Rfam
GUACUGAUGAAGAGUCCAGAACAAGGACGAUACAGCUGUCUAGUAC